RNAcentral lists this transfer RNA (76 nucleotides) under Acidobacteriaceae bacterium. RNAcentral describes it as "tRNA-Gln". It matches the Rfam family "tRNA". From Rfam's summary of the family: Transfer RNA (tRNA) molecules are approximately 80 nucleotides in length. The record is from RNAcentral. Lineage: Bacteria; Pseudomonadati; Acidobacteriota; Terriglobia; Terriglobales; Acidobacteriaceae.
UGGGAUGUCGCCAAGCUGGUAAGGCAGGAGAUUUUGAAUCUCCCAUGCGCUGGUUCGAAUCCAGCCAUCCCAUCCA